This 618-nucleotide ribosomal RNA is filed under the name uncultured bacterium. RNAcentral's name for it is "bacterial SSU rRNA". It matches the Rfam family "Bacterial small subunit ribosomal RNA", at positions 8 to 612 of the family's 1533-position model. The record is from RNAcentral.
AGAGUUUGAUCAUGGCUCAGAUUAAACGCUGGCGGCAUGCUUAAUACAUGCAAGUCGAACGAUUAAUCCUUAUUUUAUAAAGAUUAAUAAGUGGCGGACGGGUGAGUAAUACAUAGGAAUUUACCUAAUAGUGGGGGAUAACUUGGGGAAACUCAAGCUAAUACCACAUAUCUCCUUUUGGAGAAAGAAUGCCUCUGCUUGCAAGCUUUUGCUAUUAGAGAAGCCUAUGUCAGAUUAGUUAGUUGGUAAGGUAAUGGCUUACCAAGACCACGAUCUGUAGUUGGUCUGAGAGGACGAUCAGCCACACUGGGACUGAGACACGGCCCAGACUCCUACGGGAGGCAGCAGUAAGGAAUAUUGGACAAUGAGCGAAAGCUUGAUCCAGCAAUGCCGCGUGUGUGAAGAAGGCCUGCGGGUUGUAAAGCACUUUCAGUUGGGAAGAGGAUAUGAAAAGAUUUAAUAGUCUUUAAAAUUAUGACGUUACCAACAAAAGAAGCACCGGCUAACUCUGUGCCAGCAGCCGCGGUAAUACAGAGGGUGCAAGCGUUAAUCGGAAUUACUGGGCGUAAAGGGUGCGUAGGCGGUCAUGUUAGUCGGAUGUGAAAGCCCAAGGCUUAA